GAUGAACGCUGGCGGCGUGCCUAAUACAUGCAAGUCGAGCGAACGGACGAGAAGCUUGCUUCUCUGAUGUUAGCGGCGGACGGGUGAGUAACACGUGGAUAACCUACCUAUAAGACUGGGAUAACUUCGGGAAACCGGAGCUAAUACCGGAUGAUAUUUUGAACCGCAUGGUUCAAAAGUGAAAGACGGUCUUGCUGUCACUUAUAGAUGGAUCCGCGCUGCAUUAGCUAGUUGGUAAGGUAACGGCUUACCAAGGCAACGAUGCAUAGCCGACCUGAGAGGGGGAUAGGCCACACGGGAACUGAGACACGGUCCAGACUCCUACGGGAGGCAGCAGUAGGGAAUCUUCCGCAAUGGGCGAAAGCCUGACGGAGCAACGCCGCGUGAGUGAUGAAGGUCUUCGGAUCGUAAAACUCUGUUAUUAGGGAAGAACAUAUGUGUAAGUAACUGUGCACAUCUUGACGGUACCUAAUCAGAAAGCCACGGCUAACUACGUG
RNAcentral lists this ribosomal RNA (497 nucleotides) under uncultured bacterium. RNAcentral's name for it is "partial 16S ribosomal RNA". It matches the Rfam family "Bacterial small subunit ribosomal RNA", at positions 28 to 507 of the family's 1533-position model. The record is from RNAcentral.